RNAcentral lists this long non-coding RNA (586 nucleotides) under Sorghum bicolor (sorghum). RNAcentral describes it as "long non-coding RNA (SBIC_LNC010047)". The record is from RNAcentral. Lineage: Eukaryota; Viridiplantae; Streptophyta; Magnoliopsida; Poales; Poaceae.
UUGCAUGAUGAGUUUCUGUAUGAUGAGAGUUUAAAUUCCUACCACAGCCAUAUAUACAUGCUUGCUAGACUUUGAGCCACACAUUUAUUAUUUACUGCUUAUGAGCAUUGAGUGUGGUCAAGCUGUGUAGACCCUUAGGAGCUUGUCAUGUGGUUAAAUCAAGAUUUCACUUGCACGUUCACUCAUAUAUGCUACUUCUAUUCUGGAAGUACCAUCCACAUAUAUCCAUUCAUUUCCAUCUCCAGAACCACCUAAAAAUAUUCUACUCCUAAUCCGGGAGAGAAUAACCAAAAAUAUUUCUGUUUUCCCCUUGUGAAAUAAAUGCUCAAGUUAUCUUGUUACUACCACUUGCUAUAUUACCUCAAGAGAUGAGUGCUCUAAAAAAAAGGGAGAAAUAAUAUGAGGAAAUAAAAAGGAGCAAGUGCUCGGAACCUCGAAAGAAAAGAAAAAGUGAGACGAGAGGUAAAAAUGGACAAGUGUCCGACAGUAGAAUUAGGGGUGCAAGAUACCCACCUGAGAGAAAAGAAAAAGAAGAGCAUCUCAUUCUCCUCAUAAAGUUUCAAAAGCAAGGAAGGUAUGUAUCCCC